AGGCCUUAUAGUUGUAAUCAAUAUCUAGUUGCAGCCUAGAAGAUGGGGCUUUCCCUGGGGCUUA
This 64-nucleotide transfer RNA is filed under the name Armandia sp. GK-2021. Its description in RNAcentral is "tRNA-Cys". Lineage: Eukaryota; Metazoa; Annelida; Polychaeta; Opheliidae. The record is from RNAcentral.